GACGAACGCUGGCGGCGUGCUUAACACAUGCAAGUCGAACGGAAAGGCCCUGCUUUUGUGGUGUGCUCGAGUGGCGAACGGGUGAGUAACACGUGAGUAACCUGCCCUUGACUUUGGGAUAACUUCAGGAAACUGGGGCUAAUACCGGAUAGGAGCUCCUGCUGCAUGGUGGGGGUUGGAAAUUUUCGGCGGUUGGGGAUGGACUCGCGGCUUAUCAGCUUGUUGGUGGGGUAGUGGCUUACCAAGGCUUUGACGGGUAGCCGGCCUGAGAGGGUGACCGGCAACAUUGGGACUGAGAUACGGCCCAGACUCCUACGGGAGGCAGCAGUGGGGAAUAUUGCACAAUGGGCGGAAGCCUGAUGCAGCAACGCCGCGUGCGGGAUGACGGCCUUCGGGUUGUAAACCGCUUUCGCCUGUGACGAAGCGUGAGUGACGGUAAUGGGUAAAGAAGCACCGGCUAACUACGUG
Molecule: ribosomal RNA, 468 nt
Filed under: uncultured bacterium
Lineage: Bacteria
Description: partial 16S ribosomal RNA
Rfam family: Bacterial small subunit ribosomal RNA
Source: RNAcentral